RNAcentral lists this long non-coding RNA (1103 nucleotides) under Equus asinus (donkey). Its description in RNAcentral is "lncRNA (ENSEASG00005036918.1)". Lineage: Eukaryota; Metazoa; Chordata; Mammalia; Perissodactyla; Equidae. The record is from RNAcentral.
CAGGUGUGGAGUUCCGGGCUGGGCGACCGUCAGCGCGAAGAGGGGGCGCCGGUCGGAGGCCAGCCUGCUAGCCGGCAGCCUGGGACCUGGUGGGACUACAUUAUAUGGUAGCUCUUUGUUACAGCACUUAAUAUAGUCCCUUGAACAGACGAGGAGAUGGUAUGCACGAGAGCAGCUCCUUACUGACUACGUGGACAGGUAACGUAAGCCCUCUACCUCAGUUUCCUCAUCUGUAAAUGCAGAUUAUAGUUUCUCACAAAGUUGUGGGCUUCAAGGAGCGUGUAUAGGAAACUGCUUUGUGAAGAGUAAACGUAAAGCGCUUGAGAAUUCGUUGUAAGGGCUAUUUGCAUGCUGCAAGUCAUUUGACACCCCUCGUCCCACAUCACCAGCUAAGGCCACCUUCUCUUUUGUGUGACCACCAAAUAAGUCCGAUAUUCAACCAGAAAAUAGGGUGGUCAUGCCUUGGUCCUGUGAAUGCAAAGAAACAGCGACAAAUUUUGAACCUAAACUUUCUCUCCUUGUUUUACACACUUCCAGGUCCAUGGCUUCAAAUUACAACCCCUGCGUGGAUGUCUCACACAUUUAAAUUUCUCGCUCACGUAAAUCUCUAGUGUUCCGUCUCAGUGAGUCAUACCAUCGUCCACCUAGUUUGAAGCCAGAAAUCUUGGGUUCAUCCUUGACACCUGCCCUUCCUUUUUCCUUCCAUAUCCAAAUCAUCAUCAAAGUCUGUUCAUUUUAUCUUCAAACCAACCUCAAACCCAUCUACUUAUUUCUGUUUCUACCGCUGUCACCAUAGACCAAGCUACCAUCAUCUCUACGCGGUCUCCUGUAGUGGACUCCUGACUGGUCUAAUGGUACUCACCCUGUCCUUUCAAUAUUCCCAUCCGUUCUUUGCAGCAGGAGUAAUCUUUUAUAAGCUGAAGUUUGGUUAUGAUCCCCCCCUUCCCCCAACCCCCGUGCUUAAACUCCAUCAUGACUUCUCAUUGCUCUUGGGAUAAAGAUACAGCUCUUUAAUGUGGCCUACAAACUGAGCGACCAUAUACUUUGUCAUUCAGACCAAGAGACUUUUGAGAAUAAAAGACAGUGCUAUUAUUUACACUGGG